Molecule: long non-coding RNA, 1898 nt
Organism: Zonotrichia leucophrys gambelii
Lineage: Eukaryota; Metazoa; Chordata; Aves; Passeriformes; Passerellidae
Exons: 5
Source: RefSeq, a predicted model, not a curated record
GUGAGGAAGGAGGAGUCAGUGCUGUGAAGAGAUGCCCAUGAGAAAUCACCAAGAAGGAGUGUGUUGUACAUUUCCUAAGUGAAUGAGGAGCCAAAACAAAGGCAGGGAUUUCCUGGGACCUCCCUGGUGAGAACCUGCCCAGAGAGCAUCACCCAGACCCUGCUCCAUCCAAGCAGUUUUCCAGCUUCUCCUGGCAGCCCAAAUUCCUGCUUUUGGGAAAAGAAACUGGUGCUGUCUGGCCAUGCCAUGUGACAAGGGACAUGUCACCCUCCCUGCUCCCAGCCCCAGCCCAGCUCUCUCUCAUGUGAAACUCAUCAAGGCAGAGGAGGCCCAGCAGGAAGCUGCUCCUUCUAGAAUGCAUUUUACUGACAAAGCCGACCAUAUCAUUCCCAGACAGGAUCCUAAACACAUUUUUCACAGGAAUGAGCUUCCACUGACUGCCUGUGCUUUGAUAAUGGAACUCCACCUUCAGAAGUGGCCGGCAGUCUGAUCCCAUUCUGGCUUCACUCCCACAGUCUCCCAACACUUUUUAAAGCAGAGAAGAAUUUGUAAUACUUCAGUUUUUUCAAAGAUUUUCCUUGACUGUCAGCUGAGAGAAUUCUCAAACUCCUGUGCCAGCACACUUUAAAUGAGGGGGUUUGUUUAUAUCCUUUUGUGAAUUAAUUAAUUAUUGAGAUUACUUUCCAAUUUUAACAAGCUUUCUAGUAAUUACUAGCCACUGCUUGGCAAACUCUGAAGUGGCUCUGAGUUCGAGCUCAGUUCAGAUAAACACACAAAAGUUCAGAUGCUUAUCCAGCUGCUUCUUCAGUCUGCAGAACACGUCUGGAAGCCUAUCGAGCUCCCCAUCUCUCUGCUCCCACAUGCCAAGUCAUGCCAAGAAUUCUCCAGUUGCACUUUUUUCAUGGUGCUUUUGCCUGCCUGGCUGUGGUGCUGUGCAGAACCAAAGGUUCUGAAAGGGGAGAUGAGGGUGAGGCUUUGAGGAAGUUCCUCCCUCAGAGCACAGCUUCAAGAACCUGCCAAGAAGCUGUGGAGUGACCCAGUCCUUGCCAAAGGGCAGCAACAACAAAGCAUUUAAACCCACCUAAACCUCAUGGGCUGGCAUCACAAAGAAUUGGAACCCAUCUAAACCUCAUGGACUGGCACCACAAAAAAAUUAAAUCCAUCUAAACCUCAUGGGCUGGCUUCAUAAAUAAUUUAAACCCACCCAAACCUCAUGGGCUGGCAUCACAAACAAUUUGAACCCACCUAAAUUUCAUGGGCUGGCAUCAUAAAGAAUUUAAACCCACCUAAACUUCAUGGAUUGGCAUCACAAAAAAUUUAAACCCACUUAAACCUCAUUGGCUGGCAUCACAUAAAAAUUGAACCCAUUUAAACCUUGUGGACUGGCACCACAAAGAAUUUAAACCCACCUAAACUUCAUGGGCUGGCACCACAAAGAAUUUAAACCCACCUAAACCUCAUGGGCUGGCACCACAAAGAAUUUGAAACCAUCUCAACCUCAUGGGCUGGCAUCAGAAAGAAUUUAAACCAACCUAAACCUCAUGGACUGGCACCACAAAGAAUUUAAACUCACCUAAACCUCAUGGGCAGGCACUACAAAUAAUUUAAACCCAUCUAAACCUUCCUCCACACCAUUACAUGUCCCUCUUUCAGCUAGGAUUUGGUGCCCCAAAUUGAUUUGAAAUGUCUUGGUGCCCCCUGCUCCAAGCACUGCCUCUCUUUUUGCCUUUAACUCCCUCUUAGACACCAGACACUGAGCUGAAAUCCCCUGGAUUAAGAAGCUCCUCUGGGUUCAGGAGGAUUCACAAGGAUGCUUGCAGCACACCUCAAGCAGGUCCAGGCUCCUCACCAAAGCUACUCAGGAGGAUUUAAUUUUAAAUAAUGCCCCAGCACAUCCA